This 632-nucleotide ribosomal RNA is filed under the name uncultured bacterium. RNAcentral describes it as "bacterial SSU rRNA". It matches the Rfam family "Bacterial small subunit ribosomal RNA", at positions 97 to 728 of the family's 1533-position model. The record is from RNAcentral.
GGCGGACGGGUGAGUAAUGCCUAGGAAUCUGCCUGGUAGUGGGGGUCAACGUUUCGAAAGGAACGCUAAUACCGCAUACGUCCUACGGGAGAAAGAAGGGGACCUUCGGGCCUUGCGCUAUCAGAUGAGCCUAGGUCGGAUUAGCUAGUUGGUGAGGUAAUGGCUCACCAAGGCGACGAUCCGUAACUGGUCUGCGAGGAUGAUCAGUCACACUGGAACUGAGACACGGUACGACUCCUACGGGAGGCAGCAGUGGGGAAUAUUGGACAAUGGGCGAAAGCCUGAUCCAGCCAUGCCGCGUGUGUGAAGAAGGUCUUCGGAUUGUAAAGCACUUUAAGUAGGGAGGAAGGGCAGUAAGUUAAUACCUUGCUGUUUUGUCGUUACCGACAGAAUAAGCACCGGCUAACUCUGUGCCAGCAGCCGCGGAAUACAGAGGGGCAAGCGUUAAUCGGAAUUACUGGGCGUAAAGCGCGCGAAGGUGGUUCGUUAAGUUGGAUGUGAAAGCCCCGGGCUCAACCUGGGAACCGCAUCCAAAACUGGCGAGCUAGAGUAUGGUAGAGGGUGGUGGAAUUUCCUGUGUAGCGGUGAAAUGCGUAGAUAUAGGAAGGAACACCAGUGGCGAAGGCGACCAC